Molecule: ribosomal RNA, 216 nt
Filed under: uncultured Glomus
Lineage: Eukaryota; Fungi; Glomeromycota; Glomeromycetes; Glomerales; Glomeraceae
Description: partial small subunit ribosomal RNA
Rfam family: Eukaryotic small subunit ribosomal RNA
Source: RNAcentral
AUCAGCCGUGGUAAUUCCAGCUCCAAUAGCGUAUAUUAAAGUUGUUUGCAGUUAAAAAGCUUGUAGUUAAAUUUCGGGAUCAAUAUGUUGGUCGUGCCUUGGUACGUACUAGUUUAUUGGUUUCUUCCUUCUGACGAACCAUGAUGUCAUUAAUUUGAUGUCAUGGGGAAUCAGGACUGUUACUUUGAACAAAUUAGAGUGUUUAAAGCAAGCUAA